UACGGAGGGGGCAAGCGUUGUUCGGAGUUACUGGGCGUAAAGCGCGCGUAGGCGGUGCGGUAAGUCAGGGGUUAAAGGCUGCAGCUCAACUGCAGUAAGGCCUUUGAUACUAUCGUGCUAGAGUGUCAGAGAGGGUAGCGGAAUUCCCUGUGUAGCGGUGAAAUGCGUAGAUAUAGGGAGGAACACCGGUUGCGAAGGCGGCUACCUGGCCGGUAACUGACGCUGAGGUGCGAGAGCGUGGGGAGCAAACAGG
Molecule: ribosomal RNA, 253 nt
Filed under: uncultured microorganism
Description: partial 16S ribosomal RNA
Rfam family: Bacterial small subunit ribosomal RNA
Source: RNAcentral